This 1349-nucleotide ribosomal RNA is filed under the name Microbacterium paraoxydans. RNAcentral describes it as "bacterial SSU rRNA". It matches the Rfam family "Bacterial small subunit ribosomal RNA", at positions 27 to 1387 of the family's 1533-position model. Lineage: Bacteria; Bacillati; Actinomycetota; Actinomycetes; Micrococcales; Microbacteriaceae. The record is from RNAcentral.
GGAUGAACGCUGGCGGCGUGCUUAACACAUGCAAGUCGAACGGUGAAGCCAAGCUUGCUUGGUGGAUCAGUGGCGAACGGGUGAGUAACACGUGAGCAACCUGCCCUGGACUCUGGGAUAAGCGCUGGAAACGGUGUCUAAUACUGGAUAUGAGACGUGAUCGCAUGGUCGUGUUUGGAAAGAUUUUUCGGUCUGGGAUGGGCUCGCGGCCUAUCAGCUUGUUGGUGAGGUAAUGGCUCACCAAGGCGUCGACGGGUAGCCGGCCUGAGAGGGUGACCGGCCACACUGGGACUGAGACACGGCCCAGAUUCCUACGGGAGGCAGCAGUGGGGAAUAUUGCACAAUGGGCGAAAGCCUGAUGCAGCAACGCCGCGUGAGGGAUGACGGCCUUCGGGUUGUAAACCUCUUUUAGCAGGGAAGAAGCGAAAGUGACGGUACCUGCAGAAAAAGCGCCGGCUAACUACGUGCCAGCAGCCGCGGUAAUACGUAGGGCGCAAGCGUUAUCCGGAAUUAUUGGGCGUAAAGAGCUCGUAGGCGGUUUGUCGCGUCUGCUGUGAAAUCCCGAGGCUCAACCUCGGGCCUGCAGUGGGUACGGGCAGACUAGAGUGCGGUAGGGGAGAUUGGAAUUCCUGGUGUAGCGGUGGAAUGCGCAGAUAUCAGGAGGAACACCGAUGGCGAAGGCAGAUCUCUGGGCCGUAACUGACGCUGAGGAGCGAAAGGGUGGGGAGCAAACAGGCUUAGAUACCCUGGUAGUCCACCCCGUAAACGUUGGGAACUAGUUGUGGGGACCAUUCCACGGUUUCCGUGACGCAGCUAACGCAUUAAGUUCCCCGCCUGGGGAGUACGGCCGCAAGGCUAAAACUCAAAGGAAUUGACGGGGACCCGCACAAGCGGCGGAGCAUGCGGAUUAAUUCGAUGCAACGCGAAGAACCUUACCAAGGCUUGACAUAUACGAGAACGGGCCAGAAAUGGUCAACUCUUUGGACACUCGUAAACAGGUGGUGCAUGGUUGUCGUCAGCUCGUGUCGUGAGAUGUUGGGUUAAGUCCCGCAACGAGCGCAACCCUCGUUCUAUGUUGCCAGCACGUAAUGGUGGGAACUCAUGGGGUACUGCCGGGGUCAACUCGGAGGAAGGUGGGGAUGACGUCAAAUCAUCAUGCCCCUUAUGUCUUGGGCUUCACGCAUGCUACAAUGGCCGGUACAAAGGGCUGCAAUACCGUGAGGUGGAGCGAAUCCCAAAAAGCCGGUCCCAGUUCGGAUUGAGGUCUGCAACUCGACCUCAUGAAGUCGGAGUCGCUAGUAAUCGCAGAUCAGCAACGCUGCGGUGAAUACGUUCCCGGGUCUUGUACA